Long non-coding RNA from Gadus macrocephalus (Pacific cod), 1236 nucleotides. RefSeq lists it as uncharacterized. The transcript is spliced from 6 exons. The record is from RefSeq and is a predicted model, not a curated record. NCBI's taxonomy places the organism in Eukaryota, Metazoa, Chordata, Actinopteri, Gadiformes, Gadidae.
CGUAACACCCUUUCAAAAUAAAACUUCCGGGUCCAACCGCUCCGUCGAACAUAAAAACAAACCACAAUGGCUGAACCAGUGAAUCUUUUUACGAUUACUUCUUUCUUCAGUGAGACACCUGAAAGAGUAAAGAAAGGGUUGAAUUCGUUUCACUCCAACAGAGUGGGCAGUGUAGCUGUUUCGCCUCGGGGAGUUAUCAAGGGUAGCGUCCGGUCCAGGCAUCACAGAAAAAGAAAGUUUACGAGGUUGAGGUUCAUGCUGAGGGACAGACAGUGAAGUACAGCAGCUGCCAGUGCCCGAUCGGUCGGGACAAGUGCCACCAUAUGGCGGCAGUGCUCAUAUGGGUGGAGAAAAAUGUGUCCCGCACCGACGUAGAGUGUGCUUGGAAGAGGGCGAAGACACCGAGCACCGACCAGAUAGCAGCAAAGAGAGUGUCUGAGAUGACACCAUCCACAACACAAGCUGGAAUCAAAAGUCCUGUUACUCAGGAAGACAAAGACUGGGUGCAAGCAACCCUGUCCCAGCUUGGACGUUUAACGGGAUUGGAUGGAUUCCAAGAAACUCAGAAACUCCUCGGACUCUCCCUAUCAAGACAUUUGAGGGGCUAGUGACCAACCCCGACUACGCUGAAGCUGAGGACAAGGCUCUUCAUUUGCUGUCAUAAUUUGUGGUCACCAAUAGGGAGAAGCAGCAGAUCGAAAGAGCCACUGUUGGGCAAGCAAAGAAUGCAUUAUGGUCAGCAUAUCGGCAAAAAAGGAUCACAGCAAGCAACUUUGGUUUGGUGUUGGCAGCAGUCAAGCGGAAGUCCUACCCUCCAUCCUUAUUUAAAACACUGCUUGGCCAGUACAACCUCAAACAAGGAUCGAAAGCAUGUGAUUGGGGAAUUCUCCAUGAGCCAAGAGCAAAGCAGCAGUAUACGGAGAGCACUGGUGUCGUUAUCCAGGAGAGCGGUUUGUUCCUUUCGGACAGUGGUAUGCUUGGUGGAUCUCCAGAUGGGGCAGUGUCUGACAACUGCAUUGUGGAAGUGAAAUGUCCAUGGUCAGCCAGAACAAAGACUAUCCGACAGGCAGCAGAGAGUAGGGACUUUUAUCUUUACUUGGACGAAGUAACUGAUACCCUGACACUAAAACCGACACAACUAUUGGCAUCAAAUCCAGGGCAACCUACAUCUGACUGGAACUAGCAGCUGUCACCUAAUUGUAUGGACUCCUUUGGAUCUUGUCAUCCUUCCCAUCC